GUGAACGAGCGACGCCGCGUGGAGGAUGAAGGCCUUCGGGUUGUAAACUCCUGUCGAGGGGGAGGAAGGGGAAACCUUGACCGAUCCCUGGAGGAAGCACGGGCUAAGUUCGUGCCAGCAGCCGCGGUAAGACGAACCGUGCGAACGUUAUUCGGAAUCACUGGGCUUAAAGCGCGUGUAGGCGGGCCGGCACGUCGGUACCUGAAAGCCCCCGGCUCAACCGGGGAACUGGGGCCGAUACGACCGGCCUGGAGGGACGUAGGGGGACCUGGAACUUCCGGUGGAGCGGUGAAAUGCGUUGAGAUCGGAAGGAACGCCCGUGGCGAAAGCGAGGUCCUGGACGUCUGCUGACGCUGAGACGCGAAAGCUAGGGUAGCGAACGGGAUUAGAUACCCCGGUAGUCCUAGCCGUAAACGAU
This 418-nucleotide ribosomal RNA is filed under the name uncultured anaerobic ammonium-oxidizing bacterium. Its description in RNAcentral is "bacterial SSU rRNA". It matches the Rfam family "Bacterial small subunit ribosomal RNA", at positions 383 to 810 of the family's 1533-position model. The record is from RNAcentral.